GAUGAAGAACGUAGCGAAAUGAGAUACUUGGUGUGAAUUGCAGAAUCCCGUGAACCAUCGAGUCUUUGAACGCAAGUUGCGCCCGAAGCCAUUAGGCCGAGGGCACGCCUGCCUGGGCGUCACACGUCGUUGCCCCCCCAUCUACUCCUUCGGGAUUGCGGGGGGCGGAUGAUGGCCUCCCGUGCGCCUCGUCGCGCGGUUGGCAUAAAUGCCAAGUCCUCGGCGACGCACGCCACGACAAUCGGUGGUUGCGAAACCUCGGUUGCCCGUCGUGUGCGGUCGUCGCGCAUCGAGGGCUCGAAAAAAUUGCCGGGCUCCGGCUCGGCUUUCAACGCGACCCCAGGUCAGGUGGGGUUACCCGCUGAAUUUAAGCAUAUCAAUAAGCGGAGGA
RNAcentral lists this unclassified non-coding RNA (391 nucleotides) under soil metagenome. Its description in RNAcentral is "partial contains 5.8S ribosomal RNA, internal transcribed spacer 2, and large subunit ribosomal RNA". The stretch from base 1 to 122 matches the Rfam family "5.8S ribosomal RNA", at positions 35 to 154 of the family's 154-position model. The record is from RNAcentral.